UCAAACACCAUAUAUCAUCUAUUGUCGAUCCAACUACACAGUGUUGCCAUACUUUUAUCUUUUUUUCUUUUUUAUUCGAACGUAAAAUAAUUUGCAAUCGAAUACUUUAUAAUGACGUUUCCCGAAUCUUGUCGUAGUUAUUAUUUUUGUAAACAAUUUUCCUUGUAAUUACAUUCACCAACCAAAAAUUCCUAAACAGUAAUUAUCGAGAAAUUUUGGUUUACCAUAAAUUGGGUAAA
RNAcentral lists this long non-coding RNA (239 nucleotides) under Capsella rubella. RNAcentral's name for it is "long non-coding RNA (CRUB_LNC000818)". The record is from RNAcentral. Lineage: Eukaryota; Viridiplantae; Streptophyta; Magnoliopsida; Brassicales; Brassicaceae.